This 301-nucleotide ribosomal RNA is filed under the name uncultured bacterium. RNAcentral's name for it is "partial 16S ribosomal RNA". It matches the Rfam family "Bacterial small subunit ribosomal RNA", at positions 509 to 807 of the family's 1533-position model. The record is from RNAcentral.
CAGUCGCCGCGGUAAAACGGAGGGGGCUAGCGUUGUUCGGAAUUACUGGGCGUAAAGCGCACGUAGGCGGCUUUGUAAGUUAGAGGUGAAAGCCUGGAGCUCAACUCCAGAAUUGCCUUUAAGACUGCAUCGCUUGAAUCGCGGAGAGGUGAGUGGAAUUCCGAGUGUAGAGGUGAAAUUCGUAGAUAUUCGGAAGAACACCAGUGGCGAAGGCGGCUCACUGGACGCGUAUUGACGCUGAGGUGCGAAAGCGUGGGGAGCAAACAGGAUUAGAUACCCCUGUAGUCCCUGUCUCUUAUAC